AAGCCUUAGAGCUGGAAUAAGUGACCAGCACCCAGAUAACAUAGGUCAUGCUCUCAGCUCCCCUGAUGUGCUGAUGGCCGGUGCCUCUGGUCACCCAGAACCACGGGCUUGCUCCCUAGCCCACCCAGAAUGCUGACCCCAAGGACUCAUGCCAGAAUCCCUUCAUCCCAGGUCUUUUCGAACACAUGGCAACUUCUGGCCACCUCCCUAAAAUUGGUCCUCUUCCCCCAGGGCUGGGGCCAGGGUUAGGGCUGGGACUUGACAUUGUAUUUGUAUGUGUCCAGGUAACAUGAGUGGGGGCAGUAGACCCCAGGAGGAGCCUAUGUACUUGGGGUAUGUUUGUUUUUAAUCUUCUCGCAUCUGUCCACUUGACUGGGCCAGAAGAGCCUGAGGAUCCAUUGGGUCAUCACAGCCUUCCCCAGGGGUGGUUGCUUUAAGGGAGGGAUUUUCUUGAAUAGCUUCUCUUCCUUCUCCUUCAGCUCCUGGUCCACAAGUCACUUGCUCAGGGAAUGUCCUAGACCAGGCCCUGGCCCCUAUCACAGUUAAAAUAAAUGCAGUUUCUCCCCAUGUUUCUUUGAUAACCAUCUCGCCUCGUGCCCCAACCCCAUGUGCUUCUUGUGAACAGGAACAAGAUGACGCUGUUCACCACCAUCCCCAGGGCCUUGUACAGCACCUGACAUAUGCGUGUUAAACAAAGGAAUGAGCUAAUGGGCUUGCCUGGGCCCACAGUGUCCCAGGAAGGCUGAGAGGCGGCAGGAGGAUAUCCUCAGCAGUGAUUGCAGCAGAGGCAGAUCUAACCUUUGUCACCAGGAGAGAGGAACAGGCCCUACCAGCCUCAGUUUCCAGGACCAGUUCAUAAGAGAAAUCAAACUGGAGAACUGCCAAGGGGCCGGAAGGGUAGGGUUCCUCCACGCCCAGAUCAGUGAUUGAGCCGCUAGCCCCGGGCCUCUCUCCCCGCACUCAGAAAUGUGAUGCUCUGUCGCCACCUGGUGGACAUAAUAGACGAUGCUGGGACGGCCCAGCCUCCCGCGUCUGUAGGAUCCAGAAAGCGGCUUUCUUCAGGCGGAGGCUAAUAAGGAGGCAAUAGGUUUGGCACAAAAGCCCUUGCUAGAAGCCAAGUGGAUGCCGCCACCAUUUGAACUUCCCAGUCUGCAGAACUGUGAGCUCUACCUCUUUAUAAAUUACCUAUUUCAAGUAUUCUGUUACAACAAUGCCAAAUGAACUAAGGCAAGUAUUUAUCCAAAGGAAAUAAAAAUAUAUGUCUGCACAAAGAUUAGUACAUGAAAAUGUCGGAGCAGCUUUCUUCAUAAUAGCCAAAAAGUGGAAAUAGCCCAAGUGUCCAUCAACAAGUAAACAGAUAAA
This is a long non-coding RNA of Cebus imitator (Panamanian white-faced capuchin), 1362 nucleotides long. RefSeq lists it as uncharacterized. The transcript has 3 exons. The record is from RefSeq and is a predicted model, not a curated record. Lineage: Eukaryota; Metazoa; Chordata; Mammalia; Primates; Cebidae.